GUGGGGAAUCUUCCGCAAUGGACGAAAGUCUGACGGAGCAACGCCGCGUGAGUGAAGAAGGUUUUCGGAUCGUAAAGCUCUUUCGUUAGGGACGAACGUGCUCUUUGUGAAUAAUGAGGAGUAAUGACGGUACCUAAAUAAGAAGCCACGGCUAACUACGUGCCAGCAGCCGCGGUAAUACGUAGGUGGCAAGCGUUGUCCGGAAUUAUUGGGCGUAAAGCGCGCGCAGGCGGGAUAUCAAGUCUGUCUUAAAAGUGCGAGGAUCAACCUCGUGAGGGGACAGAAACUGGUAUUCUUGAGUGUCGGAGAGGAAAGUGGAAUUCCAAGUGUAGCGGUGAAAUGCGUAGAGAUUUGGAAGAACACCAGUGGCGAAGGCGACUUUCUGGACGAUGUCUGACGCUGAGGCGCGAAAGCUAGGGGAGCGAACGGGAUUAGAUACCCCGGUAGUCCC
Molecule: ribosomal RNA, 451 nt
Filed under: uncultured bacterium
Lineage: Bacteria
Description: partial 16S ribosomal RNA
Rfam family: Bacterial small subunit ribosomal RNA
Source: RNAcentral